Molecule: ribosomal RNA, 497 nt
Filed under: uncultured bacterium
Lineage: Bacteria
Description: partial 16S ribosomal RNA
Rfam family: Bacterial small subunit ribosomal RNA
Source: RNAcentral
GAUGAACGCUGGCGGCGUGCCUAAUACAUGCAAGUCGAGCGAACAGACGAGGAGCUUGCUCCUCUGACGUUAGCGGCGGACGUGUGAGUAACACGUGGAUCACCUACCUAUAUGACUGGUAUAACUUCGGGAAACCGGAGCUAAUACCGGAUAAUAUAUUGAACCGCAUGGUUCAAUAGUGAAAUUCGGUUUUGCUGUCACUUAUAGAUGCAUCCGCGCCGCUUUAGCUAGUCGGUAAGGUAACGGCUUACCACGGCUACGAUGCGUAGCCGACGUGUGAGGGUGAUCGCCGACACGGGAGCUGGAACACGGUCCAGGCUCCUACGGGAGGCAGCAGUAGGGAAUCGGACGCAAAAGGCGAAAGCAUGACGGAGCGACGCGGCGUGAGUGGUGAAGGUGUUCGGAGCGUAAUGCUCGGUUAUGAGGGAAGAACAAAUGUGUAAGGAACUGUGGACGUAUUGACGGUACCUGAUCAGAAAGCAACGGCUAACUACGUG